CCCUUAGAUGUUCUGGGCCGCACGCGCGCUACACUGAUGAAUGCAACGAGCUCUACCCUUGACCGAAAGGCCCGGGUAAACUUGUGAAACUUCAUCGUGAUGGGGACAGAUUAUUGCAAUUAUUAAUCUUCAACGAGGAAUUCCUAGUAAGCGCGAGUCAUCAGCUCGCGUUGAUUACGUCCCUGCCCUUUGUACACACCGCCCGUCGCUCCUACCGAUUGAAUGGUCCGGUGAAAUCUUCGGAUUGCUGACCAAGAUCCAGCAAUGGAGCUUGGUUGCGAGAAGUUGAUUAAACCUUAUUAUUUAGAGGAAGGAGAAGUCGUAACA
RNAcentral lists this ribosomal RNA (327 nucleotides) under uncultured eukaryote. Its description in RNAcentral is "partial 18S ribosomal RNA". It matches the Rfam family "Eukaryotic small subunit ribosomal RNA", at positions 1470 to 1796 of the family's 1831-position model. The record is from RNAcentral.